GGCUCGAUAGCUCAGUUGGUAGAGCAAGGGACUGAAAAUCCCUGUGUCCCUGGUUCGAUUCCAGGUCGAGCCACCA
RNAcentral lists this transfer RNA (76 nucleotides) under Gammaproteobacteria bacterium. Its description in RNAcentral is "tRNA-Phe". It matches the Rfam family "tRNA". From Rfam's summary of the family: Transfer RNA (tRNA) molecules are approximately 80 nucleotides in length. Their secondary structure includes four short double-helical elements and three loops (D, anti-codon, and T loops). Lineage: Bacteria; Pseudomonadati; Pseudomonadota; Gammaproteobacteria. The record is from RNAcentral.